Molecule: transfer RNA, 71 nt
Filed under: Loxodonta africana (African savanna elephant)
Lineage: Eukaryota; Metazoa; Chordata; Mammalia; Proboscidea; Elephantidae
Rfam family: tRNA
About the family: Transfer RNA (tRNA) molecules are approximately 80 nucleotides in length.
Source: Rfam by way of RNAcentral
ACACUGAUAGCUCAGUGGAAGAACACUUGCCUUCCAUGAAGGAGACCUUGGUUUGAUUCCUGGCCAGUGUA